GCCCCGUUCGCUUAAUGGUAAAGCAGAUCAUUGGUAAUGAUCAGCCGGUGGUUCAAUUCCACCACGGGGCACCA
This 74-nucleotide transfer RNA is filed under the name Parasulfitobacter algicola. Its description in RNAcentral is "tRNA-Thr". It matches the Rfam family "tRNA". From Rfam's summary of the family: Transfer RNA (tRNA) molecules are approximately 80 nucleotides in length. The record is from RNAcentral. Lineage: Bacteria; Pseudomonadati; Pseudomonadota; Alphaproteobacteria; Rhodobacterales; Roseobacteraceae.